RNAcentral lists this ribosomal RNA (253 nucleotides) under uncultured bacterium. RNAcentral's name for it is "partial 16S ribosomal RNA". It matches the Rfam family "Bacterial small subunit ribosomal RNA", at positions 524 to 776 of the family's 1533-position model. The record is from RNAcentral.
UACGUAGGUGACAAGCGUUGUCCGGAUUUACUGGGCGUAAAGAGCGCGCAGGCGGUCGUGCAAGUCGCGUGUGAAAGCCCCCGGCUCAACUGGGGAGGGUCACGCGAUACUGCUCGACUCGAAGGCAGGAGAGGGAAGUGGAAUUCCCGGUGUAGUGGUGAAAUGCGUAGAUAUCGGGAGGAACACCAGUGGCGAAGGCGACUUCCUGGCCUGUUCUUGACGCUGAGGCGCGAAAGCUAGGGUAGCAAACGGG